UCUCUCUCUCUCUCUCUCCCCACCCAAUCUCUUUUUCAUUUUCAAUUCGAAUUCCACCAAUUCACAAAUAAAUUGAAUCAUCGAAUCCGAUAAGCACGGGCAAGCGGCUCAGUGUCGAGGCUCUAGAGCUCAGUUUCUCCUCAAAUAGUGAAGACCACGGCAACCGGAAGCUGGAGCUGCUGGGCUUGGAGGGCAAGUGACAAACGAGGAGGUCAAGAGCUUGAACAAAUGGUCAGAGCUAUUUCUUCAUGCUUUUUGCUUUUCAAUUUGUUAGGUGCUUCAUUUGGCACCUCCUUUUUAAUAUGAGGGAUGAGUUUUUAUUAUCUAAUUAUCUCUUAAAAUUUCUUUUA
This is a non-coding RNA of Malus domestica (apple), 350 nucleotides long. The record is from RefSeq and is a predicted model, not a curated record. Lineage: Eukaryota; Viridiplantae; Streptophyta; Magnoliopsida; Rosales; Rosaceae.